This is a long non-coding RNA of Triticum aestivum (bread wheat), 973 nucleotides long. RefSeq lists it as uncharacterized. Lineage: Eukaryota; Viridiplantae; Streptophyta; Magnoliopsida; Poales; Poaceae. The transcript is spliced from 2 exons. The record is from RefSeq and is a predicted model, not a curated record.
AUUGCAGUCUAUCUUUUUUCUCUUCUCCUCCAUUAAAUUCCUCAACACCGCGGGACGAGCUCUUCCAUGUCUCCGCUGAAGGUGCGGCCAUCUGCUGCUGCUCCGGCCGGGAGACGCCGCGAGCCUGCGAGCCUAGGCCGGGCGUGGGAGCUCUGUAGCUGGUUACCCCCUUCCCUGCCCACGCCGCAAGGGGGAGGCGCGUUAGUGCAAGGAAGGCGAUGAGGGCCCGCGACUGGGGAGCAGCCAGCCGGGGAUGUUUCAACCGGCGGGGCUGGCGGAGAGUGGGGAUUUCAUGGCGAAGCUGUAAGCACGGCGGCGGUGACGAAGUUCUGCUACAUCCAUUGCCGGAUUUUGCUACGACCGACGACAAUUUUUGCUACAAGGAUUUCACGGCGAAGCUGCAACCACAACGGCGGUGACGAAGUUUUGCUGCAUCCAUUGCCGGAUUUUGCUACGACCGGCGAUGAUUUUUGCUACAACCGGCUAUCGGCGGAGUUGGAACCGAUAGUGCGAGGAGCUACGAGUGGGCAGAUGGGGAUGCUACAACCAUCUGGGUGUGAAACUACAACCCCAAGCGUCCUUUUGCUGGAAGCGACCAACGGCGAUGCUACAACCUUCAUCGACGGAUGCUACAACCGUCAACGGUGGGAGCUACAAGCAGUGAUGGCGAGAUGGAAAGUCGUGACCAUGGAGUCGAUUUUGCUGGGAUGGAGGACGACGGUGGUGGCGGAGCUGCAACGGCGACCGGUGGCGGAGAUGCAAUGGUGUGUCCUCUCUGCAACCACGGGGCGCUCGGGCACGACGACGGCGACUUGUUGCGGUGUGCUGGCACGAGCAACCGACGGCAAGCACGGGUCAUGGGGCGGCCGACGAGCGCUUGUUGCGCGGCUGUGCAGGAGGCCGGCGAGCACCGAUGAGGACGAGCGGUUGCGCUAGACUCUAUCCUCUUUUAUUUUCCUGUGAAUUGAAGAAA